This 416-nucleotide ribosomal RNA is filed under the name uncultured bacterium. RNAcentral's name for it is "bacterial SSU rRNA". It matches the Rfam family "Bacterial small subunit ribosomal RNA", at positions 355 to 776 of the family's 1533-position model. The record is from RNAcentral.
UGGGGAAUAUUGCGCAAUGGACGAAAGUCUGACGCAGUCACGCCGCGUGAGUGAUGAAGGUUUUCGAAUCGUAAAGCUCUGUCGGGAGGGACGAAGACACUUCGGUGUUUGACGGUACCUCGCAAGAAAGCACCGGCUAACUCCGUGCCAGCAGCCGCGGUAAUACGGAGGGUGCAAGCGUUGCUCGGAAUCACUGGGCGUAAAGCGGGCGCAGGCGGCCUAUCAAGUCGGGUGUGAAAGCCCGGGGCUCAACCCCGGAACUGCAUCCGAAACUGGUCGGCUUGAGUACGGUAGAGGGAAGCGGAAUUCCAGGUGUAGAGGUGAAAUUCGUAGAUAUCUGGAGGAACACCAGCGGCGAAGGCGGCUUCCUGGUCCGAUACUGACGCUAAUGCCCGAAAGCGUGGGGAGCAAACAGG